This 508-nucleotide unclassified non-coding RNA is filed under the name Costus talbotii. RNAcentral's name for it is "partial external transcribed spacer". The record is from RNAcentral. Lineage: Eukaryota; Viridiplantae; Streptophyta; Magnoliopsida; Zingiberales; Costaceae.
UCGGAUGAUGCCAUACCCAACGCUAUCACCUUAGCUSGCCGACAAUAAAGAAGCCAUGCUAAAGCACAAGCGAUGGGUUGACAGUCAUUCAUAUGGAUAAAUCAAAGGAAUGAGGCCUAAUGGCACUCAACCAAUAAUGUACACUGCAUCCACAAGCAUUCAAGGCACCGAUGGUCUUCCUUGGGGAGAUGGGGGCAAAAGCCAUGCAAUCAUCCAAGAGGCCAUAGGCACCGCUAUGCACCCACUCCUAUACUGCACAAAACAGAGGGAGAGGGAGAGAGAGAGAGUAUAGCACCGAGUCAUAUUUCACGAAUGAAAGACUAUGUACAUAACACAGGCAAAUCGCGUGGUACCAAUGGCAACAAUGGACCAAAUAGUGAAGGGUUGCACUAAUUUCGGUUGAGAGCACAAGGCGCAGAGCCCGCCAUUACAUGCAACAAAUAAACCACUUACAUGCCGACACGGUCAUUCUAUGUACACCGCCCUAUCGCCCACAUGCAUCCAUAUG